AGCGAACGCUGGCGGCAGGCCUAACACAUGCAAGUCGAACGAACCUUUCGGGGUUAGUGGCGGACGGGUGAGUAACACGUGGGAACGUGCCUUUAGGUUCGGAAUAACUCAGGGAAACUUGUGCUAAUACCGAAUGUGCCCUUCGGGGGAAAGAUUUAUCGCCUUUAGAGCGGCCCGCGUCUGAUUAGCUAGUUGGUUGAGGUAAUGGCUCACCAAGGCGACGAUCAGUAGCUGGUCUGAGAGGAUGAUCAGCCACAUUGGGACUGAGACACGGCCCAAACUCCUACGGGAGGCAGCAGUGGGGAAUCUUGCGCAAUGGGCGAAAGCCUGACGCAGCCAUGCCGCGUCAAUGAUGAAGGUCUUAGGAUUGUAAAAUUCUUUCACCGGGGACGAUAAUGACGGUACCCGGAGAAGAAGCCCCGGCUAACUUCGUG
RNAcentral lists this ribosomal RNA (434 nucleotides) under uncultured bacterium. RNAcentral's name for it is "partial 16S ribosomal RNA". It matches the Rfam family "Bacterial small subunit ribosomal RNA", at positions 29 to 507 of the family's 1533-position model. The record is from RNAcentral.